CUGUAAAGGCAGACUUUAGUAUGAGACUAGAUUCUAUCUCCAGAAACAACAUUUAAGUUUUAUCCCUUAUGCAGAGUAUCCAGUGGCACAACAUUAGGAAUCCAUCAUCAUUAUAGUGGAUCACUAUCAUAUUCCAUUGAAAAUGCCUACUGGAAGUCAAGAUACAUUUGUUGCCUGUUGACCUAACCUGGAUCAUACUGCAUAAGGAUGCUACUGUUUCCAAAGCACUUUGACAUUUCAGAUAACAUAUUGGAAAAGGAGUAUAAUUUUUAAAGGAAGAGGCUUUUGUGAGAGCAUUGACAUUUAAAGGACAGCAGAGAAGAUCCUGAACAGAGACCUGAGUAUAAGCUACACAGAGAGCGGAAAAAACCUUGCGAAUCCCUGCAUGCUGUAUGAAUUUUCUAUUACAGCAUACCAAAUCUACAAACUCAGCCCGAAAACAACACACGUUUACCUCACUUUUUCUGAAGAUUUCCUAGUAAAGCUCACCACUGGUGCAACUCAGUUAAAAGCCAGGUGGCAUGGGAGUCCUGCAGACAUAGCCCACCUCUGUCAGUGUCCUGAGUCAAGAGCAGGACUGGCAAGGUUGGAAAGUGGAUGUGGAGGAGCAAGGAAGAGAGAGCUGUAUUUAGAAGAGUUUGAAUUGUUUGCAGCAUACAUUGAUGAACAACCCAGAAAAUGUCCAUCUGAGCUCCAAAGAACCUGUUAAGACAAUAUUUCAGGAAAGAUAGAAAGAUAAACGUCUUGAAAACAGCCAGAGAAAACGUGUCACAUUAUUUACAGAAGAAUAAUGGUGCAAAUAACAGUGAAAUUCCCAGGAAUCAGAAAAAAUGAAUGUCGGCACACAUGGACCAACCCCUUUAAGGAAACUUGAGUGAUGUUUUUGGAAUACCUGUGCAUCAUAUGCACUAUGGAAUGUGCUAUGGAGCAUAAAAAUACAGUGUCCUGGUCUGAAAAGAAGGAUACAGACAAGAAAUUGAGUCUUGUUUCCUGAUUAUUCAUCUUGUGGUCUUUGGAUAAGUCAUCUCUUGUAUCUUCAGUGCCUUCAGAACUUUACACGCAUCGGGAGGAUUAGGAAUGAUGAACAGAAAGUGCCUGGCAGAAGAUAUUCACAAAGAAAAUAAGGAUCCUAAUACUAACUACAACAUUGGACUAAACUUGUGUGACCAUCCCCAUUCUACGUGAUCCAUAAAUCCGAGCUUAUAGUUUAUACAUCAAGGACUUUCCAUUCUAUCCAGUAAAAAUCGGCACAGUGAAUUCUCACUAUUUGAGCUUGCCUGUGACACCCCUGCAACUUGGACUAAUAAAUAUCCAUUUGUUUAAUCAAUAACAUUCAAAGCUAAAGCGUUUGCUGAAAUCUAGAUUCAUAUACUCCAAACUGGGAGUAAGUACAAUUUUCACACCUUAAAUUUAAAUAUUGAGGAAGAAAUCAUUUCAGAAUUGUGAAGAAACUCCUAAGGAUGGGGAAAGGGCUCCUGGAUCUGAAUAGCACCACAGAAACUGUUCUGGAGUGGAUCGGAUCAUAGCAAAGCUUCCACAUGCCACUUUUAACAUGGAGAAGUGGCAUUUCCAGGAUCAUUCUGUGACCAGGACUUGAG
RNAcentral lists this long non-coding RNA (1598 nucleotides) under Equus caballus (horse). Its description in RNAcentral is "lncRNA (ENSECAG00000041304.2)". Lineage: Eukaryota; Metazoa; Chordata; Mammalia; Perissodactyla; Equidae. The record is from RNAcentral.